GUCGUACGAGAAUUUUUAAUUCAAGUGGCGGACGGGUGAGUGACACGUAAGAAUUUGCCUUUAGGAGGGGGAUAAUAACUGGAAACGGUUGCUAAUACCCCAUAUGCUUUCGAGUGAAAUGGAGUUCUCCGCCUAGAGAGAAGCUUGCGGCUGAUUAGCUUGUUGGUGGGGUAAUGGCCUACCAAGGCGACGAUCAGUAUCUGGUUUGAGAGGAUGAUCAGACACACUGGAACUGAGACACGGUCCAGACUCCUACGGGAGGCAGCAGUGGGGAAUUUUCCGCAAUGGGCGCAAGCCUGACGGAGCAAUCUCGCGUGAGGGAUGACGGCCUAUGGGUUGUAAACCUCUUUUUUCAGGGAGGAACAAAAUGACGUGUACCUGAAGAAUAAGCAUCGGCUAACUCCGUGCCAGCAGCCGCGGUAAGACGGAGGAUGCAAGUGUUAUCCGGAAUCACUGGGCGCAAAGCGUCUGUAGGUGGUUUAGUAAGUCAACUGUUAAAUCUUGAAGCUCAACUUCAAAAUCGCAGUCGAAACUAUUAGACUAGAGUAUAGUAGGGGUAAAGGGAAUUUCCAGUGGAGCGGUGAAAUGCGUAGAGAUUGGAAAGAACACCGAUGGCGAAGGCACUUUACUGGGCUAUUACUGACACUCAGAGACGAAAGCUAGGGUAGCAAAUGGGAUUAGAUACCCCAGUAG
Molecule: ribosomal RNA, 693 nt
Filed under: uncultured phototrophic eukaryote
Lineage: Eukaryota
Description: bacterial SSU rRNA
Rfam family: Bacterial small subunit ribosomal RNA
Source: RNAcentral